RNAcentral lists this ribosomal RNA (292 nucleotides) under uncultured microorganism. RNAcentral describes it as "partial 16S ribosomal RNA". It matches the Rfam family "Bacterial small subunit ribosomal RNA", at positions 505 to 796 of the family's 1533-position model. The record is from RNAcentral.
GUGCCAGCAGCCGCGGUAAUACGUAGGUGGCAAGCGUUGUCCGGAAUUAUUGGGCGUAAAGCGCGCGCAGGCGGUCCUUUAAGUCUGAUGUGAAAGCCCACGGCUCAACCGUGGAGGGUCAUUGGAAACUGGAGGACUUGAGUACAGAAGAGGAGAGUGGAAUUCCACGUGUAGCGGUGAAAUGCGUAGAUAUGUGGAGGAACACCAGUGGCGAAGGCGGCUCUCUGGUCUGUAACUGACGCUGAGGCGCGAAAGCGUGGGGAGCAAACAGGAUUAGAUACCCUGGUAGUCC